This 253-nucleotide ribosomal RNA is filed under the name uncultured bacterium. RNAcentral's name for it is "partial 16S ribosomal RNA". It matches the Rfam family "Bacterial small subunit ribosomal RNA", at positions 524 to 776 of the family's 1533-position model. The record is from RNAcentral.
UACGAAGGGGGCUAGCGUUGUUCGGAAUCACUGGGCGUAAAGCGCACGUAGGCGGAUUGUUAAGUCGGGGGUGAAAUCCUGAGGCUCAACCUCAGAACUGCCUUCGAUACUGGCAAUCUCGAGUCCGGAAGAGGUUGGUGGAACAGCUAGUGUAGAGGUGAAAUUCGUAGAUAUUAGCUAGAACACCAGUGGCGAAGGCGGCCAACUGGUUCGGUACUGACGCUGAGGUGCGAAAGCGUGGGGAGCAAACAGG